Molecule: ribosomal RNA, 496 nt
Filed under: uncultured bacterium
Lineage: Bacteria
Description: partial 16S ribosomal RNA
Rfam family: Bacterial small subunit ribosomal RNA
Source: RNAcentral
GAUGAACGCUGGCGGCGUGCCUAAUACAUGCAAGUCGAGCGAACAGACGAGGAGCUUGCUCCUCUGACGUUAGCGGCGGACGGGUGAGUAACACGUGAUAACCUACCUAUAAGACUGGGAUAACUUCGGGAAACCGGAGCUAAUACCGGAUAAUAUAUUGAACCGCAUGGUUCAAUAGUGAAAGACGGUUUUGCUGUCACUUAUAGAUGGAUCCGCGCCACAUUAGCUAGUUGGUAAGGUAACGGCUUACCAAGGCGACGAUGCGUAGCCGACCUGAGAGGGUGAUCGGCCACACUGGAACUGAGACACGGUCCAGACUCCUACGGGAGGCAGCAGUAGGGAAUCUUCCGCAAUGGGCGAAAGCCUGACGGAGCAACGCCGCGUGAGUGAUGAAGGUCUUCGGAUCGUAAAACUCUGUUAUUAGGGAAGAACAAAUGUGUAAGUAACUAUGCACGUCUUGACGGUACCUAAUCAGAAAGCCACGGCUAACUACGUG